AGACGGGGGGGGCUAGCGUUGUUCGGAAUUACUGGGCGUAAAGGGCGCGCAGGCGGCUUGGGAAGUCUUGGGUGAAAGCCCCCAGCUCAACUGGGGAAUGGCCUGAGAAACCACUAGGCUGGAGUGCUGGAGAGGGAAGCGGAAUUCCCGGUGGAGCGGUGAAAUGCGUAGAUAUCGGGAGGAACACCAGAGGCGAAGGCGGCUUCCUGGACAGACACUGACGCUGAGGCGCGAAAGCUAGGGGAGCAAACGGGAUUAGAAACCCCAGUAGUCC
RNAcentral lists this ribosomal RNA (274 nucleotides) under uncultured bacterium. RNAcentral's name for it is "partial 16S ribosomal RNA". It matches the Rfam family "Bacterial small subunit ribosomal RNA", at positions 523 to 796 of the family's 1533-position model. The record is from RNAcentral.